Molecule: non-coding RNA, 3256 nt
Organism: Equus caballus (horse)
Lineage: Eukaryota; Metazoa; Chordata; Mammalia; Perissodactyla; Equidae
Source: RefSeq, a predicted model, not a curated record
UCGUGGCCUCUGGCUUCUGUUUGCGCUUGGGCGCUUCGUCGUGUCGCCGCCCGCGCGGGCGCUCUGGGAGGCGGCGAUGCCCUCGAUGCUGAGGCGUCGCCGGGCGUACGCGACUGCUGAGGGCGCAGAACCGGCCGCCGGCGCCUGGGCGCAAGGCCGAGGUGAAACGCUGAAGAUUCGCCGCGUUCUCCGUGUGCCGUCUGAGGCUGCCGGCCGUCUGGAUGAUCCGUGACGGGAAGACGCUAAGCAAAUCAUGAAGCUGCUUUUGUGGGCAUCUUCGGGGUAGCCUGCCACCAACGGGUUAAUGGAGACGGUUUACCUAACGCUUCUCCAUGCGCUGUACAGUGUUCAUCCAACACGGGGCCCUGCACGUGUCGGAAUGCCCGCCUGGCCCGCACGGCGCUUCCUGGAGCUGGGUCAGCCCGAAUGGGCCUGUGCUGGGUCCAGGGCGCUGUAACAAGCCACCACGGGCUUCGUGGCAGGAGACGCGCGAGGUGCUGUCCUCCCGGCCGCGCGAGCUUGCUCUGCGUUCCGCGAGGCCGGAGUGCGGCGCGGGUCCAGGCAGCCGUGGAGGCGCAGCUGCACGCGCUCGGAGCUCGACGGGAGAUCCGUUUCCUGGCCUUCUCCAGCUUCCGGAGGCUGUCCACGUUCCUUAGCUCGUGGCCACCUCCCUCCCCUCUUCAAAGCCAGGGGUGUUGCACGUCCGACCCUUCCGUAAUCACAUCUGCCUCUGAUCGCAGCUGGGAAAGAUUCUUUGAUUUUGAGGGCUCGUGUGAUAAGAUUGGGUCCACCUGAAUAAUCCAGGAUACUCUUCUCGUUUCAAGGGCCCAGGCAUGAGGACAUGGGGACCAGACUGAAGGACAACCUGAGAGAAAGACUCAGUGCUGUACAGCAAAGUACACAAAUCUUAAGUGUACAGCUUGAUGAAUUUUGUAUGAAUACACCAGUGUAACCACCACCCAGAUCAAAAUAUACAACAUUUUCAGCACUCCGGGAGAUUUUCUCAUGCUUCCUCCUAGCUCAAACCUCCCCUCACCCAAAGCAAUCUUCAUGAGGAGUACAUUCCAUCUCAAGAAACCACUUUCUUUGCUCAUCUAUAAGAAGCAACUCCACAUCCAUUAGUUUUAUCAUGAUAUUGCAGCAAUUCAGUCUCAUCUUCAGGCUCCACUUCUAAUUCUAAUUCUCUUGCUAUUUUCACAUCUUCAGUUAAUUUCUCCACUGAAGUCUUGAACCCCUCAAAGUCAUCCAUAAUGAUUGCAAUCAGCUUCUUCUAAAUUCCUGUUAAUGUUGAUAUUUUGACCUCUUUCCCUGAACACAAAUGUUCUUAAUGGCACCUAGAAUGGUGACUUCAUUCCAAAAGGUUUUCAAUUGAUUUUGCCCAGAUCCAUCAGAUGAAUCACCAUCUAUGGCAGCUAUAGCCUUACAAAAUAUAUUUUUAGAAUAAUAAGGCUUGAAAUUCAAAAUUACUCCUGAAUCCAUGGGAUAGAAUGGAUGUUGUGUUAGCAGGCGUGAAAACAGCAUUAAUCUCAUUGUACAUCUCCAUCAGAGCUCUUGAGUGAUCAGGUGCAUUGUCACAAGCAGUAAUAUUUUGACAGAAAUCUUUUUUCUGAGCAAUAGGUCUCGACAGUGGGCUUAAGACAUUUAGUAAACCAUGUUGUAAACAUAUGUGCUGUCAUCCAAGCUUUGUGCUUCCAUCUAUAGAGCACAAGCAGAGUAGAUUUACCAUAAUUCUUAUGAGCAUUGGCUUCAACUUGAAGUCACCAGCUGCAUUAGCCCUGAAUGAGAGAGUCAGCCUGUCCUUUGAAGCUUUGAAGCCAGCUAUUGACUUCUCCUCUCUAGCUAUGAAAGUCCUACAUGGCAUCUUUUUCCAAUAGAAGGCUGUUUCAUCUACAUUGAAAAUCUGUUCAGUGUAGCCACGUGCAUUAAUGAUCUUGGCUAGAUCUUCUGGAGAACUUGCUGCAGCUUCUACAUCAGCACUUGCUGCUUCACCCUGCACUUUUAUAUUAUGGAGAUGGCUUCUUUCCUUAAACCUCAUGAACCAACCUCUGCCAGCUUCAAACUUUUGUUCUGUAGCUUCUUCACCUCUCUCAGCCUUCACAGAAUUGAAGACAGUGAGGGCCUUGCUCUGGAUUAGGCUUUGGCUGAAGGGAAUGUUGUGGCUGGUUUGAUCUUCAAUCCAGACCACUAACAUUUUCUCCAUAUCACCAAUAAGACUGUUUCACUUUCUUAUCAUUCAUGUGUUCACUGGACUAACACUUUUAAUUUCCUUCAAGAACUGUUUCUUUGCAUUCACUAGUUGGCUGACCAUUUGGUGCAAGAGGCCUAAACUUUCAGCCUAUCUUGACUUUUGAUAUGCCUUUCUCACUAAGCUAAAUCAUUUCUAGUUUUUGAUUUAAAGUGAGAGAUGUACAACUCUUCUUUUCUCUUGAACACUUAGAGGCUAUUGUAGGGUUAUUAGUUGGUCUAAUUCAGUACUGUUGUGUCUCAGGGAAAAGGGAGGCCUGAGGAGAGGAAGCAAGAUGGGGGACCAGCUGGGCCAUGAAGCAGUCAGAACACACACAACAUUUAUCAAUUAAGUUUGAUGGGUUUAUAUGGGCACAGUUUGUGGUGCCUAAAACAAUUACAAUAGUAAUAUCUGAUUACAGAUCACCAUAAGAAAUAUAAUAAUGAAAAUUUGAAAUAUCACUAGAAAUACCAAAAUGUGACACAGGGACACAAAGUCAGCAAAUGCUGUUGGAAAAAUGGCUCUGAUAGACACGCUCAAUGCAGGGUUGCCACAAAACUUCAAUUUAUAAAAAAAUGCAAUUAUCUAUGAAGUGCAAUAAAGUGAAGCAUGAUAAAAGGAGGUAGGGCUGUGGUCUAUAGAUGUUAAUUAUGUACAUUUGAUUGAUGGUUCUUUGAGUUCAACUACGUCCUUACUGAUUUUCUGCCUGCUAGAUCUGUCCAUUUCUAAAUGAAGGGUGUUGAAGUCACCAACUAUAAUAACGGGUUCUUCUAUUUCUCCUUGCAUUUUUAUCAGUUUUUUGCCCCAUGUAUUUUGAAGCUCUGUUGUUAGGCACAUGCACAUUAAGGAUUGUUAUGUCUUCUUGGAGAAUUAACUCCUUUAUCAUUAUGGAAUGCCCCUCUGUAUUCCUGGUAACCUUCCUUGCUCUGAAAUCUGCUCUAUCUGAAAUUAAUAUAUCUAUUCCUGCUUUCUUUUGGUUAGUGUUAGUAGCCUGGUGUAUCUUUCUCCAUUCAUUUGCUUUUCAUGUAUAUA